AAAUAUGAAGCAAUACAUUGCAAUCAGUUUCGACCUGACCCCCUAAGUAGUAAUACUCUUAUUUU
RNAcentral lists this transfer RNA (65 nucleotides) under Cryptocercus laojunensis. Its description in RNAcentral is "tRNA-Arg". Lineage: Eukaryota; Metazoa; Arthropoda; Insecta; Blattodea; Cryptocercidae. RNAcentral also lists the same sequence under 1 other name. The record is from RNAcentral.